CGCGCACCCGCACGCACAGCCCCGGCGGCGGCACCGAGGAGGAUCCCGACGGCCGCAGCAGAUGGGAGAGCUCCGACACCGCUCAUCCCACGCCUCCUUGGAAGCGGGCGAUUGAAGCCCGGGGAUUUCUACUCGUUUUCUCGGAGCCCCCCCCGGCCCCCACCCGAGGGAUGGAUGCUCUCGCGUUGGAGAUGCCGGCGCUCGGGGCUUCGCUGGGCUGAAAUUGAGGAGCGUUUGUAGUGCCGACAGAUCCGAGCUGGAGCUGCUGACUCCCGCGUGGAGCUGUGAUUCCUUCCUGGGGUUUGUGCUAUUUCCAGCUCCUGUUGCCCCCAUUCCUGUGACGCCCAUCCCUGUGUGCUGGGAGCAAACCCUGGUUGGGAGCACGCUGCGCUCUGCUCCGUUUGCAGCCGCUUUUCCCACGCUAUAGGACGGCCCAGGGCAUAUCUUGCAUGGCACCAACGCUCAGCUCUGCGUGAGCUGCUGAGGCAGACGUGGAUCUGCAGGAUGAGCAGAGCUGCAGGCAGAGGUACUGCUGGCAUCAGGGGGUGGCUGCGGUGGGUUUGGGGUUUGCACUGCUGUGAGCGCUGCGCUUUGCAUUCCUCCUGCGCCUCCC
RNAcentral lists this long non-coding RNA (613 nucleotides) under Gallus gallus (chicken). RNAcentral's name for it is "long non-coding RNA NONGGAT005397". Lineage: Eukaryota; Metazoa; Chordata; Aves; Galliformes; Phasianidae. The record is from RNAcentral.